GUUGAUCAUGGCUCAGAUUGAACGCUGGCGGCAGGCUUAACACAUGCAAGUCGAGCGGGGAAAUGUAGCUUGCGUACAUUACCUAGCGGCGGACGGGUGAGUAAUGCUUAGGAAUCUGCCUAUAGUGGGGGACAACAUCUCGAAAGGGAUGCUAAUACCGCAUACGUCCUACGGGAGAAAGCAGGGGACCUUCGGGCCUUGCGCUAAUAGAUGAGCCUAAGUCGGAUUAGCUAGUUGGUGGGGUAAAGGCCUACCAAGGCGACGAUCUGUAGCGGGUCUGAGAGGAUGAUCCGCCACACUGGGACUGACGACACGGCCCAGACUCCUACGGGAGGCAGCAGUGGGGAAUAUUGGACAAUGGGGGGAACCCUGAUCCAGCCAUGCCGCGUGUGUGAAGAAAAGGCCUUUUGGUUGUAAAGCACUUUAAGCGAGGAGGAGGCUACCGAGAUUAAUACUCUUGGAUAGUGGACGUUACUCGCAGAAUAAGCACCGGCUAACUCUGUGCCAGCAGCCGC
This 515-nucleotide ribosomal RNA is filed under the name uncultured bacterium. RNAcentral describes it as "bacterial SSU rRNA". It matches the Rfam family "Bacterial small subunit ribosomal RNA", at positions 11 to 518 of the family's 1533-position model. The record is from RNAcentral.